This 31-nucleotide non-coding RNA is filed under the name Mus musculus (house mouse). The record is from RNAcentral. Lineage: Eukaryota; Metazoa; Chordata; Mammalia; Rodentia; Muridae.
UCCAAGUUUUUGUCAGAGAUGUGCUGCAACA